UUAUAUGGUCAAGAAGAGAAGCGCAAACGGUGGAUGCCUUGGCAGUAAGAGGCGAAGAAGGACGUGGAAUCCUGCGAAAAGCUAUGGGGAGCUGGAAACGAGCGAUGAGCCAUAGAUGUCCGAAUGGGGGAACCCGGCUGCAGCGAUGCGGUCAUUUGCAUUUGAAUACAUAGGAUGCAAAGGCGAACUCGGGGAACUGAAACAUCUAAGUACCCGAAGGAAAAGAAAUCAAGAGAGAUUCUCCAAGUAGCGGCGAGCGAACGGGGAGGAGCCUGGCGUGAUUUAUUAUUGAACUGAGUAGAACAAUUUGGGAAAGUUGGCGAUAGAGGGUGAAAGCCCCGUAUACGAAGGUUUGAUGAGGAACUAGGCACGCGAGCAAGUAGGCCGGGACACGUGAAAUCCUGGUUGAAGAUGGGUGGACCAUCAUCCAAGGCUAAAUACUACUUACUGACCGAUAGUGAACCAGUACCGUGAGGGAAAGGUGAAAAGAACCCCGGAGAGGGGAGUGAAAUAGAAUCUGAAACCGUUUGCGUACAAGCAGUGGGAGCAUGGUUUAGGCUGUGUGACUGCGUACCUUUUGUAUAAUGGGUCAGCGAGUUACUUUCAGUGGCGAGGUUAACUGAAUAAGGGAGCCGUAGAGAAAUCGAGUCUGAAUAGGGCGAUAGUCGCUGGGAGUAGACCCGAAACCGGGCGAUCUAGCCAUGUGCAGGAUGAAGGUUGGGUAACACCAACUGGAGGUCCGAACCGGGUAAUGUUGAAAAAUUAUCGGAUGACGUGUGGCUAGGAGUGAAAGGCUAAUCAAGCCCGGAGAUAGCUGGUUCUCCCCGAAAGCUAUUUAGGUAGCGCCUCGUGAAUGAUUACUGGGGGUAGAGCACUGUUUCGGCUAGGGGGCUGUCAUGGCUUACCAAACCGAUGCAAACUCCGAAUACCGGCUAAUUGAAUCACGGGAGACACACGGCGGGUGCUAACGUCCGUCGUGGAGAGGGAAACAACCCAGACCGCCAGCUAAGGUCCCCAAGUACUAGUUAAGUGGGAAACGAUGUGGGAAGGCAUAGACAGCCAGGAGGUUGGCUUAGAAGCAGCCACCCUUUAAAGAAAGCGUAAUAGCUCACUGGUCGAGUCGGCCUGCGCGGAAGAUGUAACGGGGCUAAAACUAGUCACCGAAGCUGCGGAUGUGCGCGAAGGCGCACGUGGUAGGGGAGCGUUCUGUAGGCUGAUGAAGGUGCAUUGAGAAGUGUGCUGGAGGUAUCAGAAGUGCGAAUGCUGACAUGAGUAACGAUAAUGUGGGUGAAAAGCCCACACGCCGGAAGUCCCAGGUUUCCUGCACGACGUUAAUCGGAGCAGGGUGAGUCGGCCCCUAAGGCGAGGCUGAAGAGCGUAGUCGAUGGGAACCAGGUUAAUAUUCCUGGACUUUUUAUAAGUGGUGAAGUGGGGACGAAGAAGGCUAGGUGAGCCAGGCGUUGGUUGUCCUGGUACUUGCAUGUAGGGGGGAAGACUUGGCAAAUCCGGUUUUCCAUAACUCUGAGGUGCGAAGUGGUUCUGACCUUUUGGUACAGAGAAGUCAUUGAUGCCCGGCUUCCAGGAAAAGCUGCUAGCCAUAACUUAUAGAGAACCGU
RNAcentral lists this ribosomal RNA (1616 nucleotides) under Legionella pneumophila. RNAcentral's name for it is "partial 23S ribosomal RNA". It matches the Rfam family "Bacterial large subunit ribosomal RNA", at positions 1 to 1645 of the family's 2925-position model. Lineage: Bacteria; Pseudomonadati; Pseudomonadota; Gammaproteobacteria; Legionellales; Legionellaceae. The record is from RNAcentral.